Molecule: ribosomal RNA, 197 nt
Filed under: uncultured bacterium
Lineage: Bacteria
Description: partial 16S ribosomal RNA
Rfam family: Bacterial small subunit ribosomal RNA
Source: RNAcentral
ACUCCUACGGAAGGCAGCAGUGGGGAAUUUUGGACAAUGGGCGAAAGCCUGAUCCAGCCAUUCCGCGUGCAGGAUGAAGGCCCUCGGGUUGUAAACUGCUUUUGUACAGAACGAAAAAGCUCUGGUUAAUACCUGGAGUCCAUGACGGUACUGUAAGAAUAAGCACCGGCUAACUACGUGCCAGCAGCCGCGGUAAU